UUUCAUAUUAGCACAAGAUUAUGACACAUAGAUUUGCUUAUUGCACUCUAUUGCAUAUACAAUCCUAUGUUAAAAGUUCCACUAAGUGCACCCUACACUUGCAAAAUAUAUAAAUACAUUUUAUAUAAGAAUGGUCUUGUGUCUGGAAUUUAAAAUCUUGAAACAACUCAAAGGCAUAUUGAACUAUUAUUAUGGUCACAUUUUUUACUCAUAUCGACACACUAUUUGGUACGCCUCUACAUGUUACCCC
This 250-nucleotide unclassified non-coding RNA is filed under the name Hevea brasiliensis (rubber tree). The record is from RNAcentral. Lineage: Eukaryota; Viridiplantae; Streptophyta; Magnoliopsida; Malpighiales; Euphorbiaceae.